RNAcentral lists this long non-coding RNA (1775 nucleotides) under Marmota monax (woodchuck). The record is from RNAcentral. Lineage: Eukaryota; Metazoa; Chordata; Mammalia; Rodentia; Sciuridae.
GCUUCCUCUAAGUCCGCUGGCGAUUCCCGUGCGCGCGUGUUGACCGCUGUGGAUAAAGCCCUGACUCGCGGUCCUCUGGCGGUACACGGCGUCUGCCGCGCUCUCGUCUUGGGCCAUGGAUCCUCUUCAUGUCCCUGUUUCGCAGAAGAGGGUACUGAGUGGCACAGAGGCUGAGUCACUUGCCCAAGAUCACUUAUGGGUCUGAUUGGGAUUAAAGCAAAAGCCAAAUUCGACAAUUGUGAAAAAAUAGUAUCCACCCCGCGAGGUAGUUCUUUAGUUCUGUGGAUUGUCUACUAAUGAUUCUUCGAAACAGGGCGAUUUUGUCCCCCUGGGGACACUUGGCAGUGAAUGAAGAUUCAGUUUGUUUGUCACAAGUUGCAAACCUCAAGAGGGUGAAGACCAGAGAUGCUGCUCCACACCCUACAAUGCACAGGAUCGCGCCACCACAGAGAACGGCACCCCCCCACACACCUUGUCAACAGGAGGUGGAGAAACACCAGUCUACACGGACAGAUGGAUAGUCAUCUGUUGAUUUGUCACAUGGUACUAUAUGCUGCUGCCUUGUGAUUUUCCCCAUAGCUUUUAUCCCCAUUGAUAACCUGGGUUCCAUCGCCAGUAUAGGGCGUGUGGGACACCUCCUGUAGCCCUCCUUACUUCUUGCAAAACAUGUUGCUCUCAGCAGGCUCUGGAGGAAGUGACUGUCAUUGGUUCUCAGCCACAGGGAAACAGACCCAGCAGAAGGGACAAGCAGUCCCAGGUGGCUGUCCACCUCUCAGGGGUCAUACUGCACUGUAACAUUUUGGAAGUCAAAAAAUUAGUUAACAGGUUUUUUGUUUGUUUGGUACCAGGGAUUGAACUCAGGGGCACUCAACCACUGAGCCACAUUCCAGCCCUAUUUUGUAUUUUAUUUAGAGACCGUCUCACCUCGCUUUUGCUGAGGCUGGCUUUGAACUCACUCUUCUUCUGUCUCAGCCUCCUGAGGCGCUGGGAUUACAGGCGUGGUGCGCCAUCAUGCCUGGCUGUUAACAGUUUUGAAAGUGAUCAGGCUCGGAGGUAGGUGUCAGGAAGGCUAGCUCCUGGGAUUGGGCUGGGCUGGGUAUGGCUGCCAGGGUGAGCAGGAACUGAUGGCAGGCUGGCUUGGCCUUCCAAACUGCAGAGGCUGGACAGCACUACAUCAAGGAAUCUGCCCCUCAGACGCUAGCUAAGUGUGUGUAGACAGAGACGGCCCAGGAUGCCCACAGUCCACAUGUCCAUCCCUCAGUGACAGGGGCCAGCAGAUACAGUGCACAGGAUGUGGUUGAAAGGAGGAAGCCAGGCACGAACUGCUUAAAAUAGUAUAUUUUAAUAUAUAUAGACACCUAUGAGGGAUGAAUAAUAGCCAUGUAUUUGCCACUGAAAUGAAAACGUUAGGUUUUUGCCACGUUUACUUCAAGAUAUUUUUUUAAAAAUGAAGCGGAGGGCUGGGAAGUGGCCCAAGGGCAGCUAUGCUUUGCUGAAUGAGGCCUGGUUCAAUCUCCUGGGUGCAGAAGAAAAAAACAGUAGAAGAGCUUGUUCCCUCCAACCCAGGCAUUUCCUCCCUCCCACUCCAGGGCAGAUACAGCAAUAAAAUAGGUGUUUUGACACUUCUCUGAAUUUACUUUCAAUGUGAGAAUAUGCAUGCCAAAAUAUACACUUCUCCCCACCCCCUGCCUUUUGUGUUACUGGGGACUGACACCAGGGAUUCCACCACUGAGCUGCAUACUCAGCCCUUUUUAUUUUGGGACAAUUUCACUAAG